Molecule: long non-coding RNA, 743 nt
Filed under: Lotus japonicus
Lineage: Eukaryota; Viridiplantae; Streptophyta; Magnoliopsida; Fabales; Fabaceae
Description: long non-coding RNA (LJAP_LNC000738)
Source: RNAcentral
GAUAAAGCAUAUUGAAGGUUUUGGAAAUUCAAAGUUCCUUGAAAAUCCUACAUUUUCUUCUAGCUAUAAUUUAUACAGUGGAGAUGCACAAGGUGGUUUUGACAUCUUAAAAAGUUGCAGCCACAGGGGAAGAGAGUAUUAUGAAAACCUUUGCAUGAAGGCUGUAAAUCAAUCAAUAGGUAUGUACUGAUUAUAGUUACCCCUAAAAGGUAAUUAUAUGGAGUGUGGAUUCCUCAAGAGGUUAAGCACUGAUUUGUGAAGGUUUUGGAAAUUCAAAGUUCCUUGAAAAUCCUACAUUUUCUUCUAGCUAUAAUUUAUACAGUGGAGAUGCACAAGGUGGUUUUGACAUCUUAAAAAGUUGCAGCCACAGGGGAAGAGAGUAUUAUGAAAACCUUUGCAUGAAGGCUGUAAAUCAAUCAAUAGGUAUGUACUGAUUAUAGUUACCCCUAAAAGGUAAUUAUAUGGAGUGUGGAUUCCUCAAGAGGUUAAGCACUGAUUUGUGGAAUUGACUUUUCAUAUGGUCUUAAAGUGAAGGAGUUCAACCUCUUGAGUGAUCUACCUCUUCGUUGAAUAACCCAUGUCUGGAAAUCAUUGGUUAAUAAUAGUACUUAAUUUUUUCACUCAGGAAGAAACUAUAGGUCAAGAAUGCUUGACAUCUUACUGGAUUUCCUGUCUGUUGUGCAUUACCACCUUUACCCAUCUUAUUGGGUUUCUCCACUAUCCUUUCACUGAUAAAUGUGUGU